UUUGCAAAGAAGUGGAGGAGAUGAGAUUUGACUUCCCAUCAGUGUCAAAAGUUGAGCAAUAGCCGAAGUAAAACCAACGAAUCACUAAAGUGUUUAUAAGAAAAAGUUUAUUGUGCAUCCACCAAAAAGGCCGUUUGGAAACCUGGAGCGCUUUAUUCUUCACAGUGGUUGGUUGUAAUAGUAGUUUUCAUAAGUGAGAGGGGAAUUGGUCAGUGGUCACCUCUUCCCAACCUUGGGAAACAGUUCAAGUUUUGCUUAUGAUUUUUCAGAGGCAUAUCCAAGAAAUGACCCAGGUGAAGUCAGUCUUGCAAAAUAAGCUCAGUUAAACAUUGCUUGCAUGACUAAACUGGUUUUGUUGACUCGGAAUUUUCAGGGCUGGUCUCAAUUUGUUUUUUAUUUUAACACUUGAAACAACCAAAUAAUGCUGACAAAUCCUAUGAACAAUGGUUUUAAGACUCUGGAAAUCAGGUAAUGAAGAACAGUCAUGCCUGAGAGAAGGGAGAGAAUGCAGGAAUUUAUAGGGGAUAGAAAGUUGAAGAAUUCAAGUCUCCUCAAUAUCAUAAUUAUUGACUGAAGACCUAUCAUGUAUCAGGCAGUUUGCAGAAGCUCCUUGACAACUGCACUUAAUCUUCAUGGCCACAUCAUGGGGUUGGUAUUUUGCUGGAUGAAGAAACUGAGUCACAGCAGAUCCCUUUCCAGAAGUUUGUGAUUAUCCCUUUCACUCAUCAACAAGAGCACUUGAUCACUUGAUAUGC
Long non-coding RNA from Canis lupus familiaris (dog), 755 nucleotides. RefSeq lists it as uncharacterized. The record is from RefSeq and is a predicted model, not a curated record. Lineage: Eukaryota; Metazoa; Chordata; Mammalia; Carnivora; Canidae. The transcript has 3 exons.